Molecule: ribosomal RNA, 492 nt
Filed under: uncultured bacterium
Lineage: Bacteria
Description: partial 16S ribosomal RNA
Rfam family: Bacterial small subunit ribosomal RNA
Source: RNAcentral
AGUGAACGCUGGCGGUAUGCCUAACACAUGCAAGUCGAACGGCAGCACAGUAAGAGCUUGCUCUUACGGGUGGCGAGUGGCGGACGGGUGAGGAAUACAUCGGAAUCCACUUUGUCGUGGGUGAUAACGUAGGGAAACUUACGCUAAUACCGCAUACGUCCUACGGGUGAAAGCAGGGGAUCUUCGGACCUUUCGCGAUUGAAUGAGCCGAGUUCGGAUUAGCUAGGUGGGGGGGUAAAGGCCCACCAAGGCGACGAUCCGUAGCUGGUCCGACGGGAUGGUCCGCCACCAUGGAAAUGAGACACGGCACAGACUCCGAAGGGAGGCAGCAGUGGGGAAUAUUGGAGAAUGGGGGGAAGGCUGAUCCAGGCAAAGCGGGUGGAGGAAGAAGGCCCUCGGGUUGGAAAGUCCUUUUGUUUGGAGAGAAAAGCAGCAGGUUAAUACCCCGCUGUUCUGACGGUACCCAAAGAAUAAGCACCGGCUAACUUCGUG